UAGAGUUUGAUCCUGGCUCAGGAUGAACGCUAGCGGGAGGCUUAACACAUGCAAGCCGAGGGGUAUAGUUAGCUUGCUAACUAGAGACCGGCGCACGGGUGCGUAACGCGUAUGCAACUUGCCCUACUGAAAAGGAUAGCCCUUCGAAAGGAGGAUUAAUACUUUAUAAUAGAAAUCAUGGCAUCAUGAAUUUUUGAAAGAUUUAUCGCAGUAGGAUAGGCAUGCGUAAGAUUAGUUAGUUGGUGAGGUAACGGCUCACCAAGACGAUGAUCUUUAGGGGGCCUGAGAGGGUGAACCCCCACACUGGUACUGAGACACGGACCAGACUCCUACGGGAGGCAGCAGUGAGGAAUAUUGGACAAUGGGUGGAAGCCUGAUCCAGCCAUCCCGCGUGUAGGAUGACGGCCUUAUGGGUUGUAAACUACUUUUAUCUGGGGAUAAACCUACUUACGUGUAAGUAGCUGAAGGUACCAGAAGAAUAAGCACCGGCUAACUCCGUGCCAGCAGCCGCGGUAAU
RNAcentral lists this ribosomal RNA (517 nucleotides) under uncultured bacterium. Its description in RNAcentral is "bacterial SSU rRNA". It matches the Rfam family "Bacterial small subunit ribosomal RNA", at positions 1 to 524 of the family's 1533-position model. The record is from RNAcentral.